AUGUCUCUCCUCUCUCAUAGUCUCAAAUGUAAUUCCCUUAAAGUCCAUUGGGCUUUAAGUUCUCUAUUCUCAAAUAGUUAUAAGGAAGAAGGAAGAUCAAGAGAAGGAAUAAUCAAGUCAAGAUUUUUGGACAAACUACAGUAAACCCCUUAAACGAUAGGGUCAUUUUCAAGUUCAUACCUAAUUUUAGAGACAUUUACUAAUACAUACUCAAACUCCCGGAAACCCUACAAAUUACCCCCCUCCGUUAGCCAAAUCGUUAGUUGAUCUGUUAAAUACUUAUGUGGCAUUUGUGGGACCUAUUUUUUAAUUGACGUGGACACCACAUAAGAAAUAAAAUUAAUAAAAUAAAUGAAAAACAAUAAAAUAAAAUAAAAAAGAAUAAAAAACUAAAAAACCGAAAGAAAAAAAAAAACUCAUCUUCUCGCCCCACCCUCUUCCCUAGAGAAAAAAGAAGUAAAGAUAGCCCCACCCCCCUCCACCACUCUCUCUGAUAUCCCCCCUCCCUUCCAGCCCAACCUCCAACCCACCCUCCCCAUAUCAUCAUCCUUCACGAAAAAACUGGUGCCACCCUCGUCGAUCGAUUCUCACCACACCCAGAUGCCGACGCCGUCGCGAACCCAACCCUCACAAAUCUGCCAUACAUCUCUGAUGACGAGCAUAUUCCCUCCUCAGAUCUAUUGGCUAGGGCUUUGGUAUUGGUUGGGGAUAGGAGGAGAAGACUGAGGGAGAAUGAGGUGGUGGGUGGUGGUUUGGUUGGCUAGGGUGGUUGUUUGGGUUGCUAGGGUGCUGAUUUGAAGUUGAUCAUAGUGUAAUAAUAUUUUAUAAUAAAUUACCCAAAUAUUUUGAAAUGCUUGAAUUGCUAGUGUUAGUAAACAUAGUUAUAAUUCCAAUUUUCUUUCCAAGAACUUAAAUAAUAAUCUGCAGUGUUAGAACAUUUUCUAACUUGAGUUUGGAAUUAAACCAAACAAAAUUGCAAUUGAGGCCAGGGUCGUCUUCUUCAUCGUCGUAAGCUUCUUAUCCAAAACCUAACUGCAAUCCCAAGCACACCAUCUUCCACACAGAUAAUUGAUAUUUGUUCCUCUUUCAAACCCUUCUCCUAUUAUUCCCUGCACACCCCAAACCUUCAAUUUCUGCAACAGUGACGAUAACUCUUGUCUCCCUCAUUUUCAGAUUCAAAUUCAAAAAAUUUAUUCUCAGGUCCCUCAAACCUAUUCGUCCUUGCGAGCCUUAGGCUGUAUUAUGAAGCACUUUUUCAAGUUGAAGGUAUGCCAGUUUCUCCACCAACAUCAUCUCUGGGGAAGAGGGUAGGGCUGCGUUGAAAAUGAGGUUUUUUUUUUGUCUUUUGUUUUUUAGUUUUUUAUUCUUUUUUAUUUUAUUUUAUGUUAUUUUAUUUUAUUUUAUUUAUUUUAUUUCUUAUGUGGAGUCCACGACAAUUAAAAAAUAGAUCCCACAAAUGUCACAUCAGUAUUUAAUAGAUUAACUAACGGUUUGGCCAACGGAGGGGGUAAUUUGUAGGGUUUCCGGGAGUUUGAUUAUGUACUUGUAAAUGUCUCUAAAAUUGGGUAUGAACUUGAAAAUGACCCUAUAGUUUAGGGGGUUUACUGUAGUUUGUCCUUACUUGUAUUAUUCACGAGUCCAACACCCAAUAACAACCAUUAAUGUUUUAAGUAGUUAAGACACAUAAUAAAAUCAAUCUCUUUCCAAAGGCCUUAGAUCCGACAUCUUGGCUAGAUGUUAGAUCGAAAUCAAGUCCAUAAUCAUCCAUAAGCUUAUAGACGACUAUUUAUCUAAACUUAAGGAAAUGCAAAGGCUUUCCGUUAGUGGUAGUGCAUAUUCCCAAAUCUCAAAUAAAAGAGUUUUAUGAAAUUGAUUUGAUUUGCAAAACAA
This 1890-nucleotide long non-coding RNA is filed under the name Prunus persica (peach). RNAcentral describes it as "long non-coding RNA (PPER_LNC000813)". Lineage: Eukaryota; Viridiplantae; Streptophyta; Magnoliopsida; Rosales; Rosaceae. The record is from RNAcentral.